This 530-nucleotide long non-coding RNA is filed under the name Mus caroli (Ryukyu mouse). RNAcentral describes it as "predicted gene 12205 (MGP_CAROLIEiJ_G0002601.1)". The record is from RNAcentral. Lineage: Eukaryota; Metazoa; Chordata; Mammalia; Rodentia; Muridae.
UUUUGUUUUGUUUUCUUUUUCAUGUUUAUUUAGUAACUAGAAAACUGGACAGAAGCCGGUAAAACAUCAAGUAAGACAAUUUUUUAUAGUUUUUAUAGAGUGAAAAACAAUCUAGAACUUUGGUAGUACUUUGGUUUAAAUAUAUCCUUCAAAGGUUCAUGUGUGGAGAUACCUAUACUUUGAGCAAUCAGGAGACUGAUGCCGGAGGAUUGUUCCAAGACUGAGGCUAGCCUAGACUAAAUAGAGAGUACUAGGUCAGCUGAGAUUAUAUAUCAUAAGAAAGUCUUAAAACAAAACAACAAAAGGCUUGUAUCUUAGCUCAGUGGCAGAGAGCUUGCCUUGCAUAUGUGCAUUCUGAAUUCAUUUCUCAGCAUCCCCAGAUUAAAAAGAAGUUAAUAAGCUGGUGAAGUUUGGUCCUGGUCCUACUUCCUAUUCCCAUGCUACCAAAAACAAGACUCAGAUUCAAAAUAUAUUUACAAAUACUUUGGCCAUAUAGCUAGGCUCUUCUCUGGCUAGAAUCAUAACGAGAA